RNAcentral lists this ribosomal RNA (437 nucleotides) under uncultured bacterium. RNAcentral describes it as "bacterial SSU rRNA". It matches the Rfam family "Bacterial small subunit ribosomal RNA", at positions 958 to 1392 of the family's 1533-position model. The record is from RNAcentral.
AACGCGAAGAACCUUACCUGGGCUUGACAUGCUAGGAAUCCCGCAGAGAUGUGGGAGUGCCCGCAAGGGAACCUAGACACAGGUGCUGCAUGGCUGUCGUCAGCUCGUGUCGUGAGAUGUUGGGUUAAGUCCCGCAACGAGCGCAACCCUCGUUCGAUGUUGCCAGCGCGUUAUGGCGGGGACUCAUCGAAGACUGCCGGGGUCAACUCGGAGGAAGGUGGGGAUGACGUCAAGUCAUCAUGCCCCUUAUGUCCAGGGCUUCACGCAUGCUACAAUGGCCGGUACAAUGGGCUGCGAUACCGUGAGGUGGAGCGAAUCCCAAAAGCCGGUCUCAGUUCGGAUCGGGGUCUGCAACUCGACCCCGUGAAGUCGGAGUCGCUAGUAAUCGCAGAUCAGCAACGCUGCGGUGAAUACGUUCCCGGGCCUUGUACACACCG